This is a long non-coding RNA of Eucalyptus grandis, 445 nucleotides long. RefSeq lists it as uncharacterized. The transcript is spliced from 2 exons. The record is from RefSeq and is a predicted model, not a curated record. Lineage: Eukaryota; Viridiplantae; Streptophyta; Magnoliopsida; Myrtales; Myrtaceae.
UAUCUAGUUGCGUUCUUCUUGUGCCAAGCAAUUAAACGGCUCCCAUCUCCUCCACCAGAAAUGAAGAUGUCAAAUAUCACAGGUGAAGGAGGAGCUUCUCUUCAGGCAAUCCUGGUGAAGCAGAAGUUCAACCACCGGAGCUUCUGAAUCAUUUCUUUGGUGUUAAUAUUUCAUUAUACAUGAAGAGAGGCAACAACAGCAAUCUCCACAAGCCAAGGCGAAAAGAAGCUAACCAGGAUAUCCGGGUAAUGCCAAAUAGAUAUUUUUGUUAUUAAAUCAAUGUUUUUUCUCAUGGAGUUGAAAUUAUUCAUUUUCAGAUUUGUUAGAUAGAUCUUUUCCCUUGGACCAUUGAUGUUUAACUUGCUCUUUUCUUCUUGAAGAAGAAUAGUGAAUAGCUUUGUAGCUAACUAGAAAUAAAUUAUCUGUGGGUUCAGCUGUUUAAAUU